This 426-nucleotide ribosomal RNA is filed under the name uncultured bacterium. RNAcentral's name for it is "bacterial SSU rRNA". It matches the Rfam family "Bacterial small subunit ribosomal RNA", at positions 354 to 796 of the family's 1533-position model. The record is from RNAcentral.
GUGAGGAAUUUUCCGCAAUGGGCGAAAGCCUGACGGAGCAAUGCCGCGUGAAGGAUGAAGGCCUAUGGGUUGUAAACUUCUUUUCUCAGAAAAGAAUUAUGACGGUAUCUGAGGAAUAAGCAUCGGCUAACUCUGUGCCAGCAGCCGCAGUAAGACAGAGGAUGCAAGCGUUAUCCGGAAUGAUUGGGCGUAAAGCGUCUGUAGGUUGUUUAAAAAGUAUUCUGUCAAAGAUUAGGGCUUAACCCUAGAUAGGCAGAAUAAACUUUUAAGCUAGAGUUUGGUAGAGGCAGAGGGAAUUCCCGGUGGAGCGGUGAAAUGCGUAGAUAUCGGGAGGAACACCAAAGGCGAAGGCACUCUGCUGGGCCAAUACUAACACUGAGAGACGAAAGCGAGGGGAGCAAAUGGGAUUAGAAACCCGUGUAGUCA